Molecule: ribosomal RNA, 447 nt
Filed under: uncultured bacterium
Lineage: Bacteria
Description: bacterial SSU rRNA
Rfam family: Bacterial small subunit ribosomal RNA
Source: RNAcentral
CGCCCAGACUCCUACGGGAGGCAGCAGUGGGGAAUAUUGCACAAUGGGGGAAGCCCUGAUGCAGCGACGCCGCGUGAGUGAAGAAGUAUUUCGGUAUGUAAAGCUCUAUCAGCAGGGAAGAUAAUGACGGUACCUGAGUAAGAAGCCCCGGCUAACUACGUGCCAGCAGCCGCGGUAAUACGUAGGGGGCAAGCGUUAUCCGGAUUUACUGGGUGUAAAGGGAGCGUAGACGGCAUGGCAAGUCUGAAGUGAAAGCCCGGGGCUCAACCGCGGGACUGCAUUGGAAACUGUCAGGCUAGAGUGUCGGAGAGGCAAGUGGAAUUCCUAGUGUAGCGGUGAAAUGCGUAGAUAUUAGGAGGAACACCAGUGGCGAAGGCGGCUUGCUGGACGAUGACUGACGUUGAGGCUCGAAAGCGUGGGGAGCAAACAGGAUUAGAUACCCCUGUA